Molecule: long non-coding RNA, 407 nt
Filed under: Brassica napus (rape)
Lineage: Eukaryota; Viridiplantae; Streptophyta; Magnoliopsida; Brassicales; Brassicaceae
Description: long non-coding RNA (BNAP_LNC001707)
Source: RNAcentral
GCAUACAUGUGUUAAUUUGUAUAUAUUUAUGUGUAUAUGUGUACAUGUGUAUGUGUCCAUCUUCACUUAUGUACAUUGUAUAUCAUCAAAGAAAUGUACCGUACAAUCAUGCCUCUUCACUAAAACCGCAAAUCACAUUGUCUGGUUAAAAACCCAAAAUUACAUUUUGAACGAAACUUGAAAGCUACUCAGUGUGUCAAAUAUCUUCAAUGUGUACACAUAUAAUAUUUAUAAAAUUAUGGAUGCACAUGCCACUGUUGUCUAAGCACUGGCUUCGCCCCUGAUAUUGUAUCAAACCAAAGCCUCAUGGCAUCCUCGUAUGCAUCCCCUCAAUGAGGAGAUUUGAUUUCGGACCAUCUUGUCCACUGAAAGUUUUAAUUAACAAUAACAAAGUUAACUAAAAGCAG